GAGUUUGAUCCUGGCUCAGAUUGAACGCUGGCGGCAUGCCUUACACAUGCAAGUCGAACGGUAACAGGUCUUCGGAUGCUGACGAGUGGCGAACGGGUGAGUAAUACAUCGGAACGUGCCCAGACGUGGGGGAUAACGAGGCGAAAGCUUUGCUAAUACCGCAUACGAUCUAAGGAUGAAAGCAGGGGACCGCAAGGCCUUGCGCGUUUGGAGCGGCCGAUGGCAGAUUAGGUAGUUGGUGGGGAUAAAAGACUUACCAAGCCGACGAUCUGUAGCUGGU
This 280-nucleotide ribosomal RNA is filed under the name uncultured microorganism. RNAcentral describes it as "partial 16S ribosomal RNA". It matches the Rfam family "Bacterial small subunit ribosomal RNA", at positions 9 to 291 of the family's 1533-position model. The record is from RNAcentral.